Molecule: long non-coding RNA, 1573 nt
Filed under: Ficedula albicollis (Collared flycatcher)
Lineage: Eukaryota; Metazoa; Chordata; Aves; Passeriformes; Muscicapidae
Description: lncRNA (ENSFALG00000024411.1)
Source: RNAcentral
AUGGGAAUGGGAAUAGGAACUGGGAAUGGGAAUAGGAAAUGGGAAUGGGAACUGGGAGUGGGAAUAGGAGGCCGGGCUGUGCCCGCAGCAGCCCCCGAGCUCGUCCCCGUCCUGUCCCAGCCCCAACCCUGUGCCAAAUUCUGUCCCCACCGUGCCAAAUUCAGUCCCCAUGUGUUAAAUUGUGUCACCACGUGCCAAAUUCUGUCCCCACCGUGCCGAAUUCUGUCCCCGCCUUACCGAAGUGUGUUCCCGUCGUGCCAAAACUUGUCCCAGCCGUGUGAAAUUCUGUCCUCACGUGUCAAAUUCUGUCACCACGUGUCAAAUCUUGUCCCCAUCGUGCCAAAUCCUAUCCCCAUGGUGCCAAAUCCCGUCCCCAUCAUGCCAAAUCCUGUCCUCAUUGUGCCACAUUCUGUCACCCAUCGUGCCAAAUUCUGUCCCCAUUAUGCCACAAUCUGUCCUCACCGUGCCAAAUCCCGUCCCCAUGGCGCCAAAUUCUGUUCCCACGUGCCAAAUCCCGGCCCCACGUGCCAAAUUCCGGCCCCACGUGCCAAAUCCCGGCCCCACGCUGCCAAACCCUCUGUCCCCACCCAGCCCGCAGCAGCCACGGGCUCACCUGAGAGGGGCGGGGACCUGCCCCGAUCCCUCUGCUCCAUAUUAAUGAGCCCCUUCCUCCUCCUCCUGCUGCUCCUCCUCCUCCUCCUGCUCCUCCUCUCCCCGGUGUCCCGGAGCGCUGCGAGUCGCGCUCGGUGCCCGCCGCGCUCGGUGCCAGCCCCGCUCGGUGCCAGCCCCGCUCGGUGCCAGCCCCGCUCGCCAUGGCCCGUGUCACCCUCGUGUCGCCGCUCUGGCUCCUGCUCCAAGGCUGCUGCCUCUGCCUGGCACAGCUGCGGGGGCCGCCAGGAGAGCCCGGCCCUCGAGGGCCCCCCGGUCCCCCCGGAGUGCCUGGAGCUGAUGGCAUCGAUGGUGACAAAGGCCCCGCUGGAGCCCCCGGUACCCCGGGUGUCAAGGGCGAGCCUGGAGCCCCUGGUCUGGAUGGGCCCCCGGGGAAGCCGGGCAUUGAUGGCCUGACGGGAGCCAAAGGGGAGCCAGGAGCCAUUGGCAGGCCAGGAGUUAAAGGCCAGCCCGGACUCCCAGGGCCACCAGGGCUCCCCGUGAGUACCUGCUGCUCCCCCCAAAUCCCCCCUGCUCCAUCCCCACUGCUGGGGUGGGAAUUGCCCUCCUUGCAUCAGGAGUUUUGGGGAAUUUGGGGAAUUUGAACCAGCUGUGGUUUUCUUUUCUUUGCAGGGUCCUUCCCUGCCAGGACCUCCUGUAAGUGGGGCUGGGAUGGGGGGGGCUUGGGAUCCUGCUGGGAAUUGUGCAGGAGGAGCUCAAACCUCAGCACCCCCAGAGGGGAGGGAUCAGAUGGGACCUCUCUCAUUCCAUGAAAUUAUCCUGGGACAUCCUGGGACAUCCUGGGACAUCCUGGGACAUCCUGGGACAUCCUGGGACAUCCUGGGACAUCCUGGGACAUCCUGGGACAUCCUGGGACAUCCUGGGACAUCCUGGGACAUCCUGGGACAUCCUGGGACAUCCUGGG